AGCCUCCUGGUGCUUACCACAGGCUGUGUUCUUACACUGACUGUAUAGAAGAAGGAGGCAAAGUAAACCUACCCCAUGUACACCUCAGCCCAGGCCUUGUGCCUGGUCUGUAUUGUAAAUGGGGUGGGAGAA
This 132-nucleotide small nucleolar RNA is filed under the name Castor canadensis (American beaver). RNAcentral's name for it is "Small nucleolar RNA SNORA51 (ENSCCNG00000005140.1)". It matches the Rfam family "Small nucleolar RNA SNORA51". Rfam says of the family: ACA51 is a member of the H/ACA class of snoRNA that guide the sites of modification of uridines to pseudouridines. The record is from Rfam by way of RNAcentral. Lineage: Eukaryota; Metazoa; Chordata; Mammalia; Rodentia; Castoridae.